This is a long non-coding RNA of Salvelinus fontinalis (brook trout), 10419 nucleotides long. RefSeq lists it as uncharacterized. Lineage: Eukaryota; Metazoa; Chordata; Actinopteri; Salmoniformes; Salmonidae. The transcript has 4 exons. The record is from RefSeq and is a predicted model, not a curated record.
CAUCUAAAAAAUAAUAUUAAUAAUACACAUAACUUGUGGCUCCAUAUUGAUGGGCUAUAUGCAUUUGUAAUAUGUAAUAGUCAUAUUGCACGAAUUCAGCUUAUGAGACAAAAGUAUAAUGUGCUCAACUAUUUGGAUAGUAAGGCACACUUCUAGCGCACUGGAAGUACGUCACUUUUCGCAGCAAAACAACGUUUUCAACACGGGUUCCUAAAGGACUGUGGUGGCAGCCUGCAUCAAAUAGAAGAUGAACACGGGUGAUUUGUCCUUUGUCCUCUCGCUUCAAACCAAGCAGGCAGCCAUCCUCCAUAUGGAAGCUCUUCCCCCGUCAAUGUAUGGCUAUCAACUUUGCCCAGAGAGCUAACUGUAGUUUUGACUGCCCUCUAAUUCAAAGGACGUGCACGUGUUUGCACUUGAGAAGGAACAGGCCAAGAUGGAUGGGAAGAUCUUCCUGGUCACCAGUUACAGUGAGCUAUGGCAUUACUACAGCGCAAGGAGACCAAAGACACUGUCACAGUAGACAAGGGAGGGCACAACCGUCGUCAAUCAUCACAUCCGAGGAGCAUUACAUUCAAGUGGAGCGGGUUAUGGUUUCCAGAUGAUCGUCACCCUCUGCUUCCCUUUCCCCUCUACCGGGGGGUUCACAUCUUGAUCGUCGCAUAGAGCAGGUCAAUCUGCUCCCGGAAGUGACUGCGAAGGUCGGUCCUCUUGGCCUUGAGCGUGGGCGUCAGGAGGCCGUUCUGGACGGAGAACAUCUCCGUGUGCAGCGAGAUAUCUCUCACCUGCACGGGACAGAGAGCAUGUUAUUCAUUAUUCCGCUUAUUAUGCAUUUAGCGUUUAUUUAACAAGCCGAGUCCCAUUGAGAUGCAAAUGUAGUUUUUUUAAAAAUCCAAGAGUACUCUGGGCUAGAGGCAGCAUUAUAAUCAUGCACAUUUUGGCACCAACAUCGCUUGUGAGUGUUAUCUUGUUUAAAUGGUGCCUAAGGAGUGUGUGGAGUAUUAGGAAGGAUGCCUUACCUGCUCAAAAGACUUCAGCCCACCUUCUUUCCCCAGCCUCAGAAUGUCCUCCAGAAUGGCAUUUUUCAACUCCUGGAAAGACAGGCACUUUAGACAAGGCAGUGUAGACAAUCUUAAUGGUUGUACUUUAAAGGGAUAGUUCACUCAAACUAUCUUGUAGUAUUUUGUUCGUUAGUCUAUUGUUAAUACAACCCCCCCCCCCAAAAAAAAAAUGUCAGGGGUCACAUUCUUUGACACUUUCAGUACAAACAAAAACUGUGAUGAGUGUUUGAGAUGAGAUUGGCCUUGUUCCGAUAUCCACGCUAGCAUGCCCAAUACAUUGCUUUAUUCUAAGGCUUUACACUCCAAAUCAAAUCAAGUUGUAUGUCACGUGCGCCAAAUACAACAGGUGUAGACCUUACCGUGAAACGCUUACUUACAAGCCCUUAACCAACAAUGCAGUUCAAGAAAUAGAGUUAAAAAAAGAUUUACUACAUAAACUAAAGAAAUAAAAUAAGUAACAAUAAAAUAACAAUGAGGCUAUAUACAGGUUACCGGUACCGAGUCAGUGUGCAGGGGUACAGGUUAGUCGAGGUAAUUUGUACAUGUAGGUUGGGUAAAGUGACUACGCAUAGGUAAUAAACAGCGAGUAGCAGCGGUGUAAAACAAAAGGGGGGGGGGGGGGGGGGGGGGCUCAAUGUAAAUAGUCCAAGUGGCCAUUUGAUGAAUUGUUCAGCAGUCUUAUGGCUUGGGGGUAGAAGCUGUUAAGGAGCCUCUUGGACCUAAACUUGGCACUCCGGUAUCGCUUGCCGUGCAGUAGCAGAAAGAACAGUAUGACUUGGGUGAUUGAGUCUGACAACUUGUUGGGUCUUCCUCUGACACCGCCUAGUAUAUAGGUCCUGGAUGGCAGGAAGCUUGGCCCCAGUAAUGUACUUGGCCGUACGCACUGCAAUCUGUAGCACCUUGCAGUCGGAUCCGAACAGUUGCCAUACCAGGCAGUGAUGCAAUCGGUCAGGAUGUUCUCGAUGGUGCAGCUGUAGAACUUUGAGGAUCUGGGGACCCAUGCUAAAUCUUUUCCGUCUCCUGAGGGGGAAAAGGCGCUGUCGUGCCCGCUUCCCGACUGUCUUGGUGUUUGGUCCAUGAGUUACUGUAGAGGCUCUUCAAGCUGCAAUUACAUUUUUCUGAGGACAACACCUGUUGAAGUUUAAGAGGAUGGACUGUGGAACUUAGCCACUGAAUACACUGUUAGUUGAUGGUAAAUCUGCCAUACCAUUGAAGCUAGCUAACCUUGCUUGCGCACAUCUCCAAAUAAGAACCCUCGAUGCCCUUCUUCUUUGCCCAUCCUGGUAAGAAGUCUGGAUCAGGCACCACAAUGCCCACCAGGCAUGCCUGUGCCAAACAAGACAUUUUCAAACAUUUUUCUUACAAUUCAUAAGCAUUUAUACUAAUUUACAAAUGUAUCAACAUUUACAAGCAGUGGCUUAUACAUGAAAGUCAUAAGUGUAACCCAAACAAGUUUCAGUCCGAUGGUGAAUACAGCCACAACAAACGUUAUGCACGUACAUACCCAACCACAAACAAAGUGCAUCAAUAGAAAGUAUUUGGUUUGUCACACACCUGCAAGCUAUCGCCAUGGACAAAGAUCUGGGCCACCGGGUCGCUCCGGAUGUAGACGUUCUCGACCUUCUCCGGGGCAAUGUACUCUCCUUGAGCCAGCUUGAAGAUGUGCUUCUUCCUGUCCACGAUCUUCAGAACGCCAUUCUGAAAGUACAGUAAACAAACUUAACUCAGUAGUGAGCUACAUCAGAUUUAGCCCCAUUACUACUCUUAGUCAGUCAUAGAUUGAGGCCCAAUAGCAGUGGUGGGCCAGUGUCUGCUGAUCUCUAUUUCCUGGUACUUAUAUCAUCAUCAGCAUCAUCAUCAUCUAAGCAGGGUCAGUCCUGAUCGAUCCCUGGAUGGGAUACCAGCUGCUGCUGGCAGUGGUGUUGAAGCGCUAAGGAGAUCCAAUGCCCCAGGGCAGUGAAGGGGAUAUUGCCCUGCAUAGUGUGCCGUCUUUCGGAUGGAACGAUAAACAGGUGUCCUGACCCAAUGGUCAUUAAAAAUCCCAUUGCAAUUACCGUAAGAGUACAGGUGUUAGCCCCAUUGUCAUGGCUAAAUUCCUAACCUGGCCCCAUUCCAUCAUAGCCACCUAAUCAUCCCCUAUAUUCCUAAUUGGCAUAUUUCACCUCAUGUGUGGUGAGCGUUCUUGCACAACAACUGUCACUGUGCAAGCCCCACCAGAGGACAAUUGCCAUAGGCUAGCUCAGUGUUUCCCAAUCUUGGUCCUGGGGACCCAAUGGGGUGCACAUUUUUGUUUUUUGCCCUAGCACUAACACACUUGAUUCAACUAAUCAAGUCACCAUCAAGCCUAAAAAAAAAAUGAACAGAAUUGAGAAACACAGAGGUAGUUGAAUGUAGAGUUGACAGUACUUACAGGCAGCCACUUCCCAAUGUCUCCCGUGUGGAGCCAGCCAUCCUGAUCCAAGGCCUCCAUUGUCUUCUCCGGGUCAUUCAGGUAGCCCUUGAAUACGUUUGGUCCUUUUACACACACCUGCAAAGAAGCAGAAUUUUAUACAUAAAUACAAACAUGAGACCAGGCUACACACCCACCUCCUCAAAGGCUAUUGAUAAAAUUGUGAAGUAUCAAAGCAAGCUCUCGAGUGGCACAGCAGUCUAAGGCACUGCAUCUCAGUGCAAGAGGCAUCCCUACAGUCCUUGGUUUGAUUCCAGGCUGUAUCAUAUCCGGCCGUGAUUGGGAGUCCCUUAGGCCGACGCACAAAUGGCCCAGCGUCGGCGGGGUAGGCCGUCAUUGUAAAUAAGAAUAUUCUUAACUUACCUAGUUAAAUAAAUGUUAAAGAAAAUUCAACUGGGAAAACCCCAAUCCCAAUAAAGCAAGCUAGAGAAGACCCAUCUCAGUAUUCCAGUAGGUCCCAAUACAUGCGUUAAAGAGAUCAAUGGAAGGCAGACCAAGGACGCUGCCAUUGGAGGCCAUUCAAAAAACCUUAUCUAACAAUGUGGAUAUUCAUCAAAUCCGUCAUGAUUAAUGUGUUCUAGCAGGCACAUAAUGUGGUUAAUAAAGUCUGAUUUGGCCAAUUUUGUUGCAUAAUAUUUAGAAGUUGUACAAUAGGGUUUAGAAAACAGACUACAUGACCAAAUGUAUAGUUUAAGUUGACAUACAUCUUAGUCUUAGACAUACAUAAUUUUAAACUCAGUUUCACAAUUCCUGACAUUUAAUCCUAGUAAAAAUGUCCAGUCUAAGUCAGUUAGGAUCACCACUUUAUUUUAAGAAUGUGAAAUGUCAGAAUAAUAGUAGAGAGAAUGAUUUAUUUCAGCUUUUAUUUCUAUCACAUUCCCAGUCAGAAGUUUACAUAUACUCAAUUUGUAUUUGGUAGCAUUGCCUUCAAAUUGUUUAACUUGGGUCAAAUGUUUUGGCUAGCCUUACAAUCUUCCCACAAUAAGUUGGGUGAAUUUUGUCCCAUUCCUCCUGACAGAGCUGGUGUAACCGAGUCAGGUUUGUAGGCCUCCUUGCUCUCACACGCUUUCUCAGUUCUGCCCACAAAUUUGAGAUAUGAUUGAGGUCAGGGCUUCGUGAUGGCCACUCCAAUACCUUGACUUUGUCCUUAAGCCAUUUUGCCACAACUUUGGAAGUAUGCUUGGAGUCAUUGUCCAUUUGGAAGACCCAUUUGCGACCAAGCUUUAACUUCCUGACUGAUGUCUUGAGAUGUUGCUUCAAUAUAUCCACAUGAUUGUCCUUUCUCGUGAUGUGAAGUGCACCAGUCCCUCCUGCAGCAAAGCACCCCCACAACAUGAUUCUGCACUUCAACACUUAAUCUGUCUAAACAAUUGUUGGAUUACUUGUGUCAUGCACAAAGUAGAUGUCCUAACCGACUUGCCAAAACUAGUUUGUUAACAAGAAAUUUGUGGAGUGGUUGAAAAACAAGUUAAUGACUCCAACCUAAGUGUAUGUAAACUGACUUCAACUGUAUAUGGAUACCUGUUCGUCAAGCAUCUCAUUCCAAAAUCACGGGCAUUAAUAUGGAGUUGAUCCCCCCUUUGAUGCUAUAACAGCCUUCACUCUUCUGGGAAGGCUUUCCACUAGAUUUUAGAACAUUGUUGCAGGGACUUGCUUCCAUUCAGCCACAGAGCAUUAGUGAGGUCAGGCACUAAUGUUGGGCAAUUAGCCUGGUUGCAGUCAGCUUUCAAAUUCAUCCCAAAAGUGUUUGAUGGUUUAGUUCAGGUCUCUUUGCAGGCCAGUCAAGUUCUUCCACACCAAUCGACAAACCAUUUCUGUAUGGACCUCGCUUUGUGCACGGGGGCAUUGUCAUGCUGAAACAGGAAAGACCCUUCCCCAAACUGUUGUAAGCACAGAAUCGUCAUUGUAUGCUGUAGCAUUAAGAGUUCCAUUCACUGGAUCUAAGGGGUAUAGCCAGAACCAUGAACAGCCCCAGACCAUUAAUUCCUCGCGUUCUCCUGGCAUUUUCCAAACCCAAAUUUGUCCUUUGGACUGCCAGAUGGUGAAGCGUGAUUCAUCACUCCAGAGAUCGAGUUUCCACUGCUCCAGAGUCCAAUGGCGAUGAGCUUUACACCACUCCAGCCGACGCUUGGCAUUGCGCAUUGUGACCUUUGGCAUGUGUGCGGCUGCUCGGUCAUGGAAACCCAUUUCAUGAAGCUUCCGAAGAACAGUUAUUGUGCUGAUGUUGCUUCCGGAGGCAGCUUGGAACUCGGUAGUGAGGGUUGCAACUGAGGACAGUUCUGUGAGCUUGUGUGGCCUACCACGUCGCGGCUGAGCCGUUGUUGCCACUAGACAUUUCCACUUCACAAUAAUAGCACUUACAGUUGACUGGGGGAGCUUUAGCAGGGCAGAAGUUGGAGAGGUGGCAUGUUGGACUUGUUGGAGAGGUGGCAUCCUAUGACGGUGCCACGUUGAAAGUCACUGAGCUCUUCAGUAAGGCCAUUCUACUGCCAAUAUUUGGCUAUGGAGAUUGCAUGGCUGUGUGCUCGAUUUCCUACACAUGUCAGCAAUGGGUGUGACUGAAAUAGCUGAUUCCACUCAUUUUAUGGGGUGUCCACAUAUACCAUUUAUAAAAAAGUAUGUUUGCUAACUUGGAUAAGUUCAGAUAAGCUAGUAGCAUAGCUAGCCAUAUAGAAAUCGAUGGUGGUAUUUAAGUCGUUUUUAAGUGUAAUGCAGUUGAUUGGUGACGAUGACAUGAACAUGUAUUGGAGUUGAUAGGCUAAUUUUGAUGGGUGGCAAUGAGGAAAUUCUGGAUCUAUCCCCACCAGGGGGGACCCAUGUGUGGAAUUUCCAUGAUGUUUACAUUGUUUUGGUCGAACUCUAAACCUCUCUUUACUGCAUGUAUUAAAGUCUUACCACUGCACUUGGCCCUUAUCUUUCAAUGUUUGCAGAUCAGUAAGGUGGAAGCUUUACCACUAUAGUGCUUAUACCCAUUCAGACCCUUCAGAUAUGCUAACAUUGACUGGUUAGGGCCAAGGGGGAGGGACAGGGGGCAAUUUGAGACUGGCUGUUCCAAUCAAAGGCACGCAAGAAACCAAGGUGGGACUUUCAAUGGUCUAUACACCUCACCUCUCCUUCCCCAUUGGCAGCAAAGUAGUUCAUCUCAGUCACGUCUGCCAGCUUUACAUAGUUGCAGGGCAGUGGAGCCCCCACAUGACCUGGGCAGAAAAGAUGCGUUGUCACAUUUCAGUAACACUUUUUGUCUGUUCUUUCAUAAUGCCAACAAUGUUUCAUGAAGAUUCCAGUGAGCCACACAAGACAGAAGUAAAACUGUUCUUAAAUCAUUGUAGAAUCAGAGUGUAGAGCAGGUGUAGAGCCAUGUGUGACUUGUUUGUUGGAUUAAGCAUGUGGUGGUAUGCGUUGUGUGAUGUGGUAGUAAUUGAAUGUGUCGGUAACGCUUGAAUGUGUGUAUUACCUGCUGUCCAGUCCCCAGGCACGGACAUGGUACACCCGGCUGUGCACUCAGUCUGACCAUAGCCUUCGUAAAACUGUCAAGUAGAAGCACCAGACAUUGAUUUGAAAGCACUGUAAAUGGAGUAACUUGUGUUUCUGAUGCUAGUAUAUUAUCCAUCUUCAGCACCACAGCAGGCUAGUUGGGUAGGAGGUUGAUUCCCAAGCAUGAAGUGAUUGUUUUGACUGAUAGAAAGAGAACAUUAUUGAACAAACAGGAAGUGUCAAGAGGGAGCUACUUCUCUAGGGUAUGAAAAGGGCUACAUUCCGAUUCUCUACCUCUCCCCACAAAGAGUGCGCCUGUAAACUCCCCCUAAAGGAUUUAAAAGGAAAUGACUAGUGUGUUGGAUAUGGGUGAAAUUCCUUCCAGCCAUGCUUGUACCAAUCCAAUGCUUUUAAAUGCACGAGGGGGAGUGAAUGAGUGCACACCUCUUUAGAAGGUUAAAGAAUUAGAAUGCAACCAGGCUCUGCAUCCAAAUUCUCUGGGAAAGGGGGCAUUUGUACACUCUUCCCCACACAUUUAGAAGCAUUGGAUUGGUGGAAGCAUGGACUAGAGAGUUUAUCCUUUUGUUCACCUGUCAUUUAAAUGUGUAAAUCAAUGAAGGGAAGUCUCACCUGGCAGCCAAGUGCGGCACGAAGGAACGUCAGGACGGUUGGAGAAACUGGGGCCGCUCCUGUGAUCAUCAGCCUCACACGACCCCCAAGACUUUUCUGGAGAGCACAAAGGAGGAAAGACGUUAUUGACAUCCAUGGUUGUACCUCACAAUAGACCAGCGAUUCUCAAAUUUGGGUCGAGGGAGGUUGAGUGGGUCGCAUGUGUCGAGUAAUUUUCUUUAAUAUAUUUUUGGUAAAUUAAUGGAAAAAAAUAACUUAAACCGGGUAGAAAGUGUGUAGAAAUUAUUAUGAAUUUACAUUUUUAAAUAAUUAGCAGAGACAUUUUUGGUUGAUUUUCUGGUCUCAAACCAGUGAGUUUAUUAACCUUCAAAAACAGUGGCGACCCAUUUUGAACCCCACCAGUUCUUUUAACGUUGCCCGUUUCACCUUAAUACAUGGCACAUAUCUGAUAGCAAACAACUUUUUUUAUUUAAAAAAAGAGUUAAAAGCUGCAUACAGACAUGGUCUCUUUUUUGCUUUCUUGAGUAAGGCAGCUCCAAAAUGCAGGCGUUUCAGCCUCGCUCAGUGCUUUCUGUGGUGGUGGGGCAGCCAGCGGAAAAUAUGGAGUGUAGAGGUUGGUAAUGUUCUCUAGUUGCGACGUGAUUGGCUCAGUGUUCUGUCACUGAUAGGGACACUACGUCACCGCAACAUCUACGGGGAGUGCUCAAGCCCCUUGGGUGCUGCCAUAGAGUUACAUUAAAAGUGCCCAUCCAUGGCGGCUCAAGGUCAUAAGCCACAGAUAAAUCACGUUAUAUUUACCGUAGCUUUGAUUGGACUGAUCAUGUCAAUUUAAGAUUUUUAAACUUAACUAGCAAGCUAGCAGUCAUCAUGAAUCAAGUCGACAAUCUACUGGAAAAUCCAUUUAAAUCUUAUAUGCCUCCUUUUGUAAUCAUACGGUUCUUAAUUGGUGUACAGGGAGAAAACUAAGAACGGCCCAUGUUCUGAAUUCUGAACAAAGAUAUUUUGACUACAUCCAUCCUAGCUCAUUGUCAAUUGAAGUUACGGAUUGCCUCUUAUCCGCUCGUCGUCUCCUUAUGCCAUAGUUUGUACAUCUCAAUUGUCAGUAGAAACCACAUUUGUUUAAGUAAGUCGGCCAUAUCAGCUAUGUUUUUUUAAAGGCAGUAAAUGAAGCUGAAUGAACUGUUUCGCUGCCAGACAAGGCUCUGCUGAUAGCCAGGUGUAGCAGUGGUAAGGUUUUGGGACAGCUUUAUUUAUUUAUUUAGGCCAGUUUGCGGGCACCGUUUGUCACCGUUAUAGUGCAAUUUAUGUAUUGUUUAGGGGCUUUGCUGUCAUGCAUAACAAAGAUUCCGACCAAGAUUUACAUGCUAACAAUCACCACUGAUCAAGAAUAUGGGUAAAAUGUAAUAACUGACAAAAGUGGUGGGAAUGUUGUUCCCAUGUAAUCUAAUUUCUACAUUUAAUAGCAAUAUAGCAUUUAAAACAGACAAAAAAAUAUAUAAACGUAACAUGUAAAGUGUUAGUCCCAUGUUUCAUGAGCUGAAAUAAAAGAUCCCAGAAAUGUUCCAUAUGCACAAAAAGCUUCAAGUUGUGCAAAAAUUUGUUUACAUCCCUGUUAGUGAGCAUUUCUCCUUUGUCAAGAUAAUCCAUCCACCUGACAGGUGUGGCAUAUCAAGAAGCUGAUUAAGCCUUGGGCCUUGUGCUGAGGACAAAAGGCCACUAAACAAAAUACAGUUUUGAGGAAGUGUGCAAUUGGCAUGCUGACUGCAGGAAUGUCCACCAGAGCUGUUGUCAGAGAAUUUAAUGUUAUUUUCUCUACCAUAAGCCGCAUCUGAUGUUUUAGAGAAUUUGGCAGUAUGUUCAACAGGACUCACAACCGCAGACCACAUGAAAUUUUGCAUGUGCAUUUUUCCCCACCAAUCAAUCAGUUAAGGGUUGCAUUAUAAUACUUCAUACAAAUUUGCCAUGAUGGAAAAUGCUAAUGUGUGGCACUUUCUUACCACCAAAUUGUUUUACCAUUAACCCUAGUCUUUACAAUACCCACAUUCCUAACUAAAUGAAAAAACACCCUAACCUUAAACCUCACCCAGAACCCGAAACAUAAACUUAGCUCAUGUAAGUCACAACAUUAAAGUCAACAUUGUCCUUCCUAGCACGACCAUCUGGUUCCUAUCCAUGGGUACCUGGACUUUUUGGAAGAUGAGCUUGUCCCACAAGCUGUCCUUCCUGACCACGCCAUUCAUCAUCUCCGCAUGCUUCCUCCUGGAGGCAAAAACCAUCAGCCACCUCUUCAGUGGCGUGUUGGCCUGUCCAAAGAUCUAUGAAGGAGAGAGAAAAUAAUAUCUUAUUUGUCCAUCUUGCAAAGGACAUUUGUCUUUUGCCCUGCUCCCAACCUUGUGCCUCCGUCAAGGGCAAGACUGGAGUGGAUGGGCAGCUACAAUCUGUAAAGCAGCAGCCCGUUGGUUGACAGUUCAGUUUGCUCUUUUAUUGCCCAGCCCAGGAUUUGAACCAGCGACUGUCCGGCUACAGGUCCGCCCGUCUGACCUCUAGGCUACAUAACGCCCCUUCUCCAAAGAGAGUAUUCAACAACAUAUCAAAACCCAAAGCAAUCUAGGCCACUGAGCUAUUUGAGACCUUUGUGGUUGAAUUCAGUCCAACACACCUUUAAAUUGUUUAUGAAGCAUCUUGGUUUACAAACCUUUGCCCACACAUGCUUUAAAUUAGAGCUCGAUACACAUGUACAACUUUUCUAAGAAAUGUUUGUAUUUGUCUUUUGUGCAUGUCCAAUUCAAAUAAAUCGAGCUACUGGUA